AGAGUUUGAUCCUGGCUCAGGAUGAACGCUAGCUACAGGCUUAACACAUGCAAGUCGAGGGGAAACGACAUCGAAAGCUUGCUCUUGAUGGGCGUCGACCGGCGCACGGGUGAGUAACGCGUAUCCAACCUGCCCACCACUUGGGGAUAACCUUGCGAAAGUAAGACUAAUACCCAAUGACGUCUCUAGAAGACAUCUGAAAGAGAUUAAAGAUUUAUCGGUGAUGGAUGGGGAUGCGUCUGAUUAGCUUGGUUGGCGGGGUAACGGCCGCCAAGGCUACGAGGUCAGUAGGGGUUCUGAGAGGAAGGUCCCCACAUUGGAACUGAGACACGGUCCAAACGUCCGACGGGAGGCA
This 355-nucleotide ribosomal RNA is filed under the name uncultured bacterium. Its description in RNAcentral is "bacterial SSU rRNA". It matches the Rfam family "Bacterial small subunit ribosomal RNA", at positions 8 to 350 of the family's 1533-position model. The record is from RNAcentral.